UUCGAAAGGGGGGGACCUGACCGAGCAACGCCGCGUGAGUGAAGAAGGUUUUCGGAUCGUAAAGCUCUGUUGUAAGAGAAGAACGGGUGUGAGAGUGGAAAGUUCACACUGUGACGGUAUCUUACCAGAAAGGGACGGCUAACUACGUGCCAGCAGCCGCGGUAAUAA
This 168-nucleotide ribosomal RNA is filed under the name uncultured bacterium. Its description in RNAcentral is "partial 16S ribosomal RNA". It matches the Rfam family "Bacterial small subunit ribosomal RNA", at positions 364 to 526 of the family's 1533-position model. The record is from RNAcentral.